GUCAGCUAUGUGGACUCUAGCUGCCAAAGGCGCUUCUCCUUCUGAACAGAGCGCUUUGCUCAGCCAGUGUAGACAUGGCCUGAU
Chlorocebus sabaeus (green monkey) is the source of this 84-nucleotide microRNA precursor. Ensembl annotates it as microRNA 1251. The record is from Ensembl. NCBI's taxonomy places the organism in Eukaryota, Metazoa, Chordata, Mammalia, Primates, Cercopithecidae.